CUACAUGAUACACAGUUUGGAUUUUGU
RNAcentral lists this small RNA (27 nucleotides) under Bombyx mori (domestic silkworm). Its description in RNAcentral is "ovarian small RNA-14612". Lineage: Eukaryota; Metazoa; Arthropoda; Insecta; Lepidoptera; Bombycidae. The record is from RNAcentral.